GGAGGUUACUGCUAUCGGUGUUCGCCUAACCCAUGCGAGUCAUAUGUUCUUCGUGAACAUGGCGUACUGCUCAGUAACACGUGAAUAACCUGCCCUUGGGACCGGCAUAACCCCGGGAAACUGGGGAUAAUUCCGGAUACCGCAUAUAUGCUGGAAUGCUUUAUGCGUGAAAUGGAUUCGUCUGCCCAAGGAUGGGUCUGCGGCCUAUCAGGUAGUAGUGGGUGUAAUGUACCUACUACCCUACAACGGGUACGGGUUGUGAAAGCAAAAGCCCGGAAAUGGAUUCUGAAACAUGAAUCCAGGCCCUACGGGGCGCACCAGGCGCGAAAACUUUACAAUGCGGGAAACCGUGAUAAGGGGACACCGAGUGCCACCAACAUUUGUUGGCUGUCCAGGUGUGUAAACUACACCUGUUAGCAAGGGCCGGGCAAAACCGGUGC
Molecule: ribosomal RNA, 440 nt
Filed under: uncultured archaeon
Lineage: Archaea
Description: bacterial SSU rRNA
Rfam family: Archaeal small subunit ribosomal RNA
Source: RNAcentral